Molecule: ribosomal RNA, 255 nt
Filed under: uncultured bacterium
Lineage: Bacteria
Description: partial 16S ribosomal RNA
Rfam family: Bacterial small subunit ribosomal RNA
Source: RNAcentral
UACGGAGGGUGCAAGCGUUAUCCGGAUUCACUGGGUUUAAAGGGUGCGUAGGUGGGUUGGUAAGUCAGUGGUGAAAUCUCCGGGCUUAACCUGGAAACUGCCAUUGAUACUAUCAAUCUUGAAUACCUUGGAGGUGAGCGGAAUAUGUCAUGUAGCGGUGAAAUGCUUAGAUAUGACAUAGAACACCAAUUGCGAAGGCAGCUCACUACACGGUCAUUGACACUGAGGCACGAAAGCGUGGGGAUCAAACAGGGA